UUCCGGUUGAUCCUUCCGGACCCGACUGCUAUCAGAGUGGGACUAAGCCAUGCGAGUCAACAUAGCAAUAUGUGGCAUACGGCUCAGUAACACGUAGUCAACAUGCCCAGGGGACGUGGAUAACCUCGGGAAACUGAGGAUAAACCGCGAUAGGUCAUCACUUCUGGAAUGGGUAAUGACUUAAAUCUAUAUGGCCCCUGGAUUGGACUGCGGCCGAUCAGGCUGUUGGUGAGGUAAUGGCCCACCAAACCUGUAACCGGUACGGGCUCUGAGAGGAGGAGCCCGGAGAUGGGCACUGAGACAAGGGCCCAGGCCCUAUGGGGCGCAGCAGGCGCGAAACCUCUGCAAUAGGCGAAAGCUUGACAGGGUUACUCUGAGUGAUUUCCGUUAAGGAGAUCUUUUGGCACCUCUAAAAAUGGUGCAGAAUAAGGGGUGGGCAAGUCUGGUGUCAGCCGCCGCGGUAAUACCAGCACCCCGAGUGGUCGGGACGUUUAUUGGGCCUAAAGCAUCCGUAGCUGGUUCUACAAGUCUUCCGUUAAAUCCACCUGCUUAACAGAUGGGCUGCGGAAGAUACUAUAGAGCUAGGAGGCGGGAGAGGCAAGCGGUACUCGAUGGGUAGGGGUAAAAUCCGUUGAUCCAUUGAAGACCACCAGUGGCGAAGGCGGCUUGCCAGAACGCGCUCGACGGUGAGGGAUGAAAGCUGGGGGAGCAAACCGGAUUAGAUACCCGGGUAGUCCCAGCUGUAAACGAUGCAGACUCGGUGAUGAGUUGGCUUAUUGCUAACUCAGUGCCGCAGGGAAGCCGUUAAGUUUGCCGCCUGGGGAGUACGGUCGCAAGACUGAAACUUAAAGGAAUUGGCGGGGGAGCA
RNAcentral lists this ribosomal RNA (868 nucleotides) under uncultured archaeon. Its description in RNAcentral is "bacterial SSU rRNA". It matches the Rfam family "Archaeal small subunit ribosomal RNA", at positions 1 to 878 of the family's 1478-position model. The record is from RNAcentral.